Molecule: non-coding RNA, 200 nt
Organism: Oryza glumipatula
Lineage: Eukaryota; Viridiplantae; Streptophyta; Magnoliopsida; Poales; Poaceae
Source: Rfam
AAUAAUCUCAACCAUGAGUUUCCGUAUUCAACUUUAACCAUCCGUCUUAUUUAAAACUUAUUAUUAUUAUUAUUAUUAUUAUUAGAUUAUAAAGCAUGAAUAGUACUUUAUAUGUACUAAUGUUUUUUUAGAUUUUUCAAAAAAAUUUAAAUAAGACGGACGGCUAAAGUUGGAUAUGGAAACUCAUGGCUGGGCAUUUA